Molecule: ribosomal RNA, 465 nt
Filed under: uncultured bacterium
Lineage: Bacteria
Description: partial 16S ribosomal RNA
Rfam family: Bacterial small subunit ribosomal RNA
Source: RNAcentral
GACGAACGCUGGCGGCGUGCUUAACACAUGCAAGUCGAACGGAAGGGCCCUGCUUGCAGGGUACUCGAGUGGCGAACGGGUGAGUAACACGUGGGUGAUCUGCCCUGCACUUCGGGAUAAGCCUGGGAAACUGGGUCUAAUGCCGGAUAGGAGCCAUUUUUAGUGUGAUGGUUGGAGAGUUUUUUCGGUGUAGGAUGAGCUCGCGGCCUAUCAGCUUGUUGGUGGGGUAAUGGCCUACCAAGGCGGCGACGGGUAGCCGGCCUGAGAGGGUGGACGGCCACAUUGGGACUGAGAUACGGCCCAGACUCCUACGGGAGGCAGCAGUGGGGAAUAUUGCACAAUGGGCGCAAGCCUGAUGCAGCGACGCCGCGUGGGGGAUGACGGCCUUCGGGUUGUAAACUCCUUUCGCUAGGGACGAAGCUUUUUGUGACGGUACCUAGAUAAGAAGCACCGGCUAACUACGUG